This 576-nucleotide ribosomal RNA is filed under the name Saccharomyces cerevisiae (brewer's yeast). RNAcentral describes it as "partial 26S ribosomal RNA". It matches the Rfam family "Eukaryotic large subunit ribosomal RNA", at positions 62 to 652 of the family's 3401-position model. Lineage: Eukaryota; Fungi; Ascomycota; Saccharomycetes; Saccharomycetales; Saccharomycetaceae. The record is from RNAcentral.
AAACCAACCGGGAUUGCCUUAGUAACGGCGAGUGAAGCGGCAAAAGCUCAAAUUUGAAAUCUGGUACCUUCGGUGCCCGAGUUGUAAUUUGGAGAGGGCAACUUUGGGGCCGUUCCUUGUCUAUGUUCCUUGGAACAGGACGUCAUAGAGGGUGAGAAUCCCGUGUGGCGAGGAGUGCGGUUCUUUGUAAAGUGCCUUCGAAGAGUCGAGUUGUUUGGGAAUGCAGCUCUAAGUGGGUGGUAAAUUCCAUCUAAAGCUAAAUAUUGGCGAGAGACCGAUAGCGAACAAGUACAGUGAUGGAAAGAUGAAAAGAACUUUGAAAAGAGAGUGAAAAAGUACGUGAAAUUGUUGAAAGGGAAGGGCAUUUGAUCAGACAUGGUGUUUUGUGCCCUCUGCUCCUUGUGGGUAGGGGAAUCUCGCAUUUCACUGGGCCAGCAUCAGUUUUGGUGGCAGGAUAAAUCCAUAGGAAUGUAGCUUGCCUCGGUAAGUAUUAUAGCCUGUGGGAAUACUGCCAGCUGGGACUGAGGACUGCGACGUAAGUCAAGGAUGCUGGCAUAAUGGUUAUAUGCCGCCCGU